Molecule: long non-coding RNA, 409 nt
Organism: Numida meleagris (helmeted guineafowl)
Lineage: Eukaryota; Metazoa; Chordata; Aves; Galliformes; Numididae
Exons: 3
Source: RefSeq, a predicted model, not a curated record
CUGAUGUUAUCUAGCUGGACUUCUGCAAGGCCUUUGACAAGGAAAAAAGGUAUCAAUACAUUUGAAAUAUCAAAAUAUAUGAAGUAUCUAAGGGAAUUCUCUGUGAGGAGGCUGAGUGUGCACAAGAAGUUGGGAGGAGACACAACUAGAACAACUGACCCAAACUGACGGAAGAGAUAUCCCCUACUCUACAAUGGCAUGAUCAGCAAUAAAAACUGAAGGAAAAAAGGAGAAAGUGGGAGAUAUCUGGAGUGAUGGCAUUUGUCUUCCCAAGUAACUGUUAUGCGUGAUGGAGACCUUCUUUCCUAGUAAUGGCUGAUCAUCUGCCUGUGGAUGGGAAAUAGUGAAUGAAUUUCUUAUUUUGCUUUGCUUGUGUGUGCAGCUUUUGCUUUACCUAUUAAACUAUAUU